UACGAAGGGGGCUAGCGUUGCUCGGAAUGACUGGGCGUAAAGGGCGCGUAGGCGGUUUGUACAGUCAGGUGUGAAAUUCCCGGGCUCAACCUGGGGGCGGCACUUGAGACGUAGGAACUGGAGUGAGGAAGAGGGUCGUGGAAUUCCCAGUGUAGAGGUGAAAUUCGUAGAUAUUGGGAAGAACACCAGUGGCGAAGGCGAGUCCCUGGACAGGUCCUGACGCUGAGGCACGAAAGCUAGGGGAGCAAACAGG
This 253-nucleotide ribosomal RNA is filed under the name uncultured bacterium. RNAcentral's name for it is "partial 16S ribosomal RNA". It matches the Rfam family "Bacterial small subunit ribosomal RNA", at positions 524 to 776 of the family's 1533-position model. The record is from RNAcentral.